Molecule: ribosomal RNA, 490 nt
Filed under: uncultured bacterium
Lineage: Bacteria
Description: partial 16S ribosomal RNA
Rfam family: Bacterial small subunit ribosomal RNA
Source: RNAcentral
AUUGAACGCUGGCGGCAGGCCUAACACAUGCAAGUCGAACGGUAACAGGAAACAGCUUGCUGUUUCGCUGACGAGUGGCGGACGGGUGAGUAAUGUCUGGGAAACUGCCUGAUGGAGGGGGAUAACUACUGGAAACGGUAGCUAAUACCGCAUAACGUCGCAAGACCAAAGAGGGGGACCUUCGGGCCUCUUGCCAUCGGAUGUGCCCAGAUGGGAUUAGCUAGUAGGUGGGGUAACGGCUCACCUAGGCGACGAUCCCUAGCUGGUCUGAGAGGAUGACCAGCCACACUGGAACUGAGACACGGUCCAGACUCCUACGGGAGGCAGCAGUGGGGAAUAUUGCACAAUGGGCGCAAGCCUGAUGCAGCCAUGCCGCGUGUAUGAAGAAGGCCUUCGGGUUGUAAAGUACUUUCAGCGGGGAGGAAGGGAGUAAAGUUAAUACCUUUGCUCAUUGACGUUACCCGCAGGAGAAGCACCGGCUAACUCCGUG